GAGGCUUGCAACUCACCUUGAGAAAGUUGCUACUCGAUGUUACAAGUGUAUAGACCUGUGGACUGCAAGUUCAACUCUGAUAUUCGGAGUCAGGUGCUACACUCAUGUGGUAUUUGUUGUAAAAUCUUCUGAAUGUAUUGUUAAAUAGUUACUAAGAAUGGGACAGUGGAUUAUCAAAAGACAUUAGAAGGGUGUUCAAAAUAAUCCCUUGCCAUGCUAGAGCAUGGGUAAUCUGGAAAGAAAUAAAUAGGAUCAAGGGAUGAGAUGUGAACUCGACUUAGAAGUACAACGGCGUGUGGCUGACAAAAAGUAGACACAUGGAGAUUAAUUACCAUUUUAGUCAUUCAAUUUUAAUGAAUAACAUUACUAUUGUGACAUCACUUUUUUUUCAAAUGAAAGAAAAAAAAGGAGAAACGAAAGGAGAGAAGGGUGAGAAACUGUUAUUUUGCAGAUAUACGGCUGUGAUGACAGAUGUUGGUUUCAAUUUACAAAAAGACCGUUUAAUGAAGUUUACAGAAUCUAUGCCAAAAAAAAAGUACAUAUAUAUGGAAUCAAGAUUACCUUCCAUGUGCUCAGUUCUUCUUUCUCAAUCCAUUCUUUUAUUGCAUAAACCUCAUUUUAUAUAGUGAACCAACAGACAGGUUUGUAUAAGGAUGUCAUGUAAAUUUCACUCAUGGGAAAUCAAAAUUCCUGAUAGACCACAGUCAACAUGCAGAAUUUUAAAGAGCAUUACUUUGAAUACAAAUGAAUGAUAGUACUCACACACAUUUUUAUUUCCUAUGUAUGAGAGCACGAGGCUUUAACACGAGUACAGGGGUUUCCUUGGGGCUUAAGAGCUAUGAGCAGAGACUAUCCCUGUUUGAUGUUUUUUGAACUUACCUGACAUGCAUGAUGUGGCAAA
This 901-nucleotide long non-coding RNA is filed under the name Phoenix dactylifera (date palm). RNAcentral's name for it is "long non-coding RNA (PDAC_LNC017116)". Lineage: Eukaryota; Viridiplantae; Streptophyta; Magnoliopsida; Arecales; Arecaceae. The record is from RNAcentral.